Molecule: unclassified non-coding RNA, 226 nt
Filed under: Ascomycota sp.
Lineage: Eukaryota; Fungi; Ascomycota
Description: partial contains small subunit ribosomal RNA, internal transcribed spacer 1, and 5.8S ribosomal RNA
Rfam family: Eukaryotic small subunit ribosomal RNA (bases 1-47)
Source: RNAcentral
AAAGUUGUAACAAGGUUUCUGUAGGUGAACCUGCGGAAGGAUUAUUAUUGUAGGGCUCUGGCCCUAUUGAGAUAGAACCCUUGCCUUUAUAGUACCUUCUGUUGCCUUGGCGCCUGCCUCACGGCGGCGCUAACAGGGCUAACUAAAAAACCUUUUUUUUAUCUAAGAAUUAGUCUGAAAAAACAAACAAAAAUUAAAACUUUUAACAACAGAUCUCUUGGUUCUG